This 75-nucleotide transfer RNA is filed under the name Bacillota bacterium. Its description in RNAcentral is "Firmicutes bacterium (sediment metagenome) tRNA-Thr". It matches the Rfam family "tRNA". Rfam says of the family: Transfer RNA (tRNA) molecules are approximately 80 nucleotides in length. Their secondary structure includes four short double-helical elements and three loops (D, anti-codon, and T loops). Further hydrogen bonds mediate the characteristic L-shaped molecular structure. tRNAs have two regions of fundamental functional importance: the anti-codon, which is responsible for specific mRNA codon recognition, and the 3' end, to which the tRNAs corresponding amino acid is attached (by aminoacyl-tRNA synthetases). tRNAs cope with the degeneracy of the genetic code in two manners: having more than one tRNA (with a specific anti-codon) for a particular amino acid; and 'wobble' base-pairing, i.e. permitting non-standard base-pairing at the 3rd anti-codon position. Lineage: Bacteria; Bacillati; Bacillota. RNAcentral also lists the same sequence under 3 other names. The record is from RNAcentral.
GCUGGUGUGGCUCAGCGGUAGAGCAGCGCACUCGUAAUGCGCAGGUCGUCGGUUCGAAUCCGACCACCAGCUCCA